AUAUGUGAGGGCAAUUUUAUGUGACAUCUGUCACCCUGCUGAUCACCAAGUUGACUUGGUUGUGGAUGCCUUUUCCUUGCCUCACCCCUCUGUGUGUAUCCUGCUCCCCUCCCAAAGCUAUUGCACUCAAAGACAAGGACCACCCAAGUUAAGGAGUACCUUUCUUUGGUUGAAGGUAUGUGAAUAGCUGCACUCCUUUGUUAAAACCUUUGAACAAGUUCACAAGGAAGCCAUUUCAACAUUUGAUGCAAAUUAUGUGGUUCAGAGUUAAGACAACUCUCUACUCUGUGGAAAACA
RNAcentral lists this small nuclear RNA (297 nucleotides) under Peromyscus maniculatus bairdii (prairie deer mouse). RNAcentral's name for it is "7SK RNA (ENSPEMG00000002609.2)". It matches the Rfam family "7SK RNA". Rfam says of the family: 7SK was discovered as an abundant small nuclear RNA in the mid-70s but a possible function has only recently been suggested. Two independent studies have found that 7SK RNA binds the CDK9/cyclin T complex (known as elongation factor P-TEFb). The record is from Rfam by way of RNAcentral. Lineage: Eukaryota; Metazoa; Chordata; Mammalia; Rodentia; Cricetidae.